GGCCGGAUAGCAGCAGCAAAAGGGACAACCGAAACCUUCAACAUUUCUUCUUCCAAAGCUCAUGCAAAUCACCACCAAAUCUUCUAAAAAAUUUAGCACCACUUAGCCUAAGUCUUGGACAACACAUUUAGCUGGAAAAGGGAGGAGCUUUCACGAUUCUUCAAGCUUCAAAGGGGCCGAAACUUCUGUCCUAACCAGCCAUCAAAGUAGGCACGCACGAGGACCUCCAAGAGGACCCUACCGUGGAAGUUUGAACUCUCCCUCCAACCUACUUGCUUGCAUAACUGGUUUGAACUCGGAGGUGAAAUGGAGAAACCCUCUUGAUGUACUUUUGUUUAGGGCUUGUUAUUACUUUUGGUUAUGCCUUUGGUUUUGGAAUUGUACUUUUGGUAUGGAAAUGUGACCUUGAGAACUGUCACAGU
Molecule: long non-coding RNA, 422 nt
Organism: Coffea arabica (coffee)
Lineage: Eukaryota; Viridiplantae; Streptophyta; Magnoliopsida; Gentianales; Rubiaceae
Source: RefSeq, a predicted model, not a curated record